This 28-nucleotide small RNA is filed under the name Bombyx mori (domestic silkworm). Its description in RNAcentral is "ovarian small RNA-16969". The record is from RNAcentral. Lineage: Eukaryota; Metazoa; Arthropoda; Insecta; Lepidoptera; Bombycidae.
GCGGUUUUGGGGGGCGCGUUUGCCGGGC